UACGGGAGGCAGCAGUGGGGAAUUUUGGACAAUGGGGGCAACCCUGAUCCAGCAAUGCCGCGUGAGUGAAGAAGGCCUUCGGGUUGUAAAGCUCUUUUGUCAGGGAAGAAACAGCAGCUCUAACACAGUCUGCGAAUGACGGUACCUGAAGAAUAAGCACCGGCUAACUACGUGCCAGCAGCCGCGGUAAUACGUAGGGUGCAAGCGUUAAUCGGAAUUACUGGGCGUAAAGCGUGCGCAGGCGGUUAUGUAAGACAGGCGUGAAAUCCCCGGGCUUAACCUGGGAAUUGCGCUUGUGACUGCAUAGCUAGAGUAUGUCAGAGGGGGGUAGAAUUCCACGUGUAGCAGUGAAAUGCGUAGAGAUGUGGAGGAAUACCAAUGGCGAAGGCAGCCCCCUGGGAUAAUACUGACGCUCAUGCACGAAAGCGUGGGGAGCAAACAGGAUUAGAUACCCUGGUAGUCCACGCCCUAAACGAUGCUGACUAGUUGUUCGGGAAUUUAUUCCUGAGUAACGUAGCUAACGCGU
Molecule: ribosomal RNA, 526 nt
Filed under: uncultured Polynucleobacter sp.
Lineage: Bacteria; Pseudomonadati; Pseudomonadota; Betaproteobacteria; Burkholderiales; Burkholderiaceae
Description: bacterial SSU rRNA
Rfam family: Bacterial small subunit ribosomal RNA
Source: RNAcentral